GUGCUCACUUGGGUAACGCAUAUACUAAAAUUGGAAUAAUACAGAGAAGAUUACCAUGUACGAGGCCCCUGUACAAGGAUGACAUGCAAAUUCGUGAAUCAUUCCCAUGUUCU
Molecule: small nuclear RNA, 113 nt
Organism: Otolemur garnettii (small-eared galago)
Lineage: Eukaryota; Metazoa; Chordata; Mammalia; Primates; Galagidae
Source: Ensembl